GGGCCCGCACAAGCGGUGGAGCAUGUGGUUUAAUUCGAUGAUACGCGAGGAACCUUACCAGGGCUUAAAUGUAGUGGGACAGGUCUAGAGAUAGACCCUUCUUCGGACUCAUUACAAGGUGCUGCAUGGUUGUCGUCAGCUCGUGCCGUGAGGUGUCAGGUUAAGUCCUAUAACGAGCGCAACCCCUAUCGUUAGUUGCCAGCGAGUAAUGUCGGGAACUCUAACGAAACUGCCAGUGCAAACUGUGAGGAAGGUGGGGAUGACGUCAAAUCAUCACGGCCCUUACGUCCUGGCUACACACGUGCUACAAUGGCUGGUACAGAGGGCUGCGAACCCGCGAGGGCAAGCG
RNAcentral lists this ribosomal RNA (349 nucleotides) under uncultured bacterium. RNAcentral describes it as "bacterial SSU rRNA". It matches the Rfam family "Bacterial small subunit ribosomal RNA", at positions 917 to 1269 of the family's 1533-position model. The record is from RNAcentral.